AAUCAACGCUGGCGGCGUGCCUAACACAUGCAAGUCGCGCGCGAAAGGGGGGCAACUCCCGAGUAAAGCGGCGAACGGGUGAGUAACACGUGGGUAAUCUACCUUCGAGUGGGGAACAACACCGGGAAACUGGUGCUAAUUCCGCAUGACAUCGUCGGGGCUUCGGUUCUGACGCUCAAAGCUGGGGAUCGCAAGACCUAGCGCUUGAAGAUGAGCCCGCGUCCGAUUAGCUAGNGGCGGGGUAAUGGCCCACCAAGGCUUCGAUCGGUAGCCGGCCUGAGAGGGGCGGACGGCCACACUGGAACUGAGACACGGUCCAGACUCCUACGGGAGGCAGCAGUGGGGAAUUUUUCGCAAUGGGGGCAACCCUGACGAAGCAACG
Molecule: ribosomal RNA, 382 nt
Filed under: uncultured bacterium
Lineage: Bacteria
Description: bacterial SSU rRNA
Rfam family: Bacterial small subunit ribosomal RNA
Source: RNAcentral